UUUGUCAGUAUUAAGUUAAACCCUUUUUUGUACAUUAACGUUACAGAUACACCAGGGUAUGCUCUGAUCAUUUAUGGAUGGAAUUUGUCCAAACUCCAUGAACAGGAACAAGGCGCCAGCAAAAUUCCUUGCGCAUAAGAUCCUUUCUACCAAAAAAGUACAGACAUGUAAAUCUCUAAUAGAGGUGUUUGAAAGUGCUUAUCAGUCCUGAUGAUUCUUCAAGUCCACAGAGUUAAAGUCAUUCCUGGGAUAAGAUUCAAACAUUUCAUGGCUAUGCCAAAUCACAUGCUGAUGACACCAGUGUCGGUGAUGGCAGCUCUGGAAGUGUCGGUGUUCAGGCAUCUCCUGACAUGCAUCAAAUCUCCACAUAUUCCGAAAGACCAGAAAUAACCAUCAAAGACAUUCAAAUCAUUCUUUUUUUAAAUUCUGUGUUUUUGACAUAAUUGAAUUUGGUACCGACAAGUAAUGUACUGAAAAACUGAACACUGUUAAGAUUGAGACAGGGCGUAAAAGAAAGUUAAGACCUGUUGAUGAGUUUCAAUGACAUGGUAAACAAAUUAUUUGA
Dreissena polymorpha is the source of this 565-nucleotide long non-coding RNA. RefSeq lists it as uncharacterized. Lineage: Eukaryota; Metazoa; Mollusca; Bivalvia; Myida; Dreissenidae. The record is from RefSeq and is a predicted model, not a curated record. The transcript has 3 exons.